AUGGCGCAGCUGGAGGCCGAUCUCAAGGCGAGCGGCGAGGAGCUUGCUGCGCUCAAGCGUGAGCGCGAGAAGGACGUCGCCGCUCAUGGCGAGCUGCAGGGUCGUCUCGCUGAGAGGAGCAAGGAGCUUAGCGCCGCCAAGGACUCCAACGCAGAUCUUGAGUUGAAGCUGGUUACUUUGACUCAGACGCUGGACGGCGCCAGGGUGCAGGAGGUGGCCUUGAAGGAGAAGAUCAAGGCCGACGAGGCGCUGCUGGCGAGUGCUGCUGCCGCCCAGGACACUUUUAGGGAGAAUGUGGAGCACUGGACCGAGGGUCUCGUGGAUGUUGCCGCAGCCAUCGACAGGGAGCUGGCGCAGCUGGAGAUGGAGGAUCUCGGGUAUUCCUCCGAUGAGCACCUCCAACCCAGCGCCAAGCUCAACUUGUUCUUCAAAGGCGUGGCGACGACCCUCCAACGACUCCGGGAGAAGAUCCCAAAGCAGCUGGCCGACGAGUCGCGCAAGUUCUGCGCGGGAGCUCUUCAAUAG
This 525-nucleotide ribosomal RNA is filed under the name Triticum aestivum (bread wheat). RNAcentral's name for it is "partial small subunit ribosomal RNA". Lineage: Eukaryota; Viridiplantae; Streptophyta; Magnoliopsida; Poales; Poaceae. The record is from RNAcentral.